GCGCGUUCUCAGGGCGGGGUGAAAUUCCCCACCGGCGGUGAUAGCCCGCGAGCGCCUUUCGGUAUCUGCCGGAAGGGUCAAGCAGACACCGGUGAAAUUCCGGGGCCGACGGUUAAAGUCCGGAUGGAAGAGAACCAGC
This 139-nucleotide non-coding RNA is filed under the name Yoonia vestfoldensis. Its description in RNAcentral is "Loktanella vestfoldensis FMN sequence". It matches the Rfam family "FMN riboswitch aptamer (RFN element)". Rfam says of the family: The RFN element is a highly conserved domain that is found frequently in the 5'-untranslated regions of prokaryotic mRNAs that encode for flavin mononucleotide (FMN) biosynthesis and transport proteins. This element is a metabolite-dependent riboswitch that directly binds FMN in the absence of proteins. In Bacillus subtilis, the riboswitch most likely controls gene expression by causing premature transcription termination within the 5' untranslated region of the ribDEAHT operon and precluding access to the ribosome-binding site of ypaA mRNA. The record is from RNAcentral. Lineage: Bacteria; Pseudomonadati; Pseudomonadota; Alphaproteobacteria; Rhodobacterales; Paracoccaceae.